UGGGGAAUAUUGCACAAUGGGGGAAACCCUGAUGCAGCGACGCCGUGUGAGCGAAGAAGGUUUUCGAAUCGUAAAGCUCUGUCCUAUGAGAAGAUAAUGACGGUAUCAUAGGAGGAAGCCCCGGCUAAAUACGUGCCAGCAGCCGCGGUAAUACGUAUGGGGCGAGCGUUGUCCGGAAUUAUUGGGCGUAAAGGGUACGUAGGCGGUCUAUUAAGUCAGGUGUGAAAGCGUGAGGCUUAACCUCAUUAAGCACUUGAAACUGAUAGACUUGAGUGAAGGAGAGGAAAGUGGAAUUCCUAGUGUAGCGGUGAAAUGCGUAGAUAUUAGGAGGAAUACCGGUGGCGAAGGCGACUUUCUGGACUUUUACUGACGCUCAGGUACGAAAGCGUGGGGAGCAAACAGG
This 403-nucleotide ribosomal RNA is filed under the name Verrucomicrobiota bacterium. Its description in RNAcentral is "Verrucomicrobia bacterium partial 16S ribosomal RNA". It matches the Rfam family "Bacterial small subunit ribosomal RNA", at positions 355 to 776 of the family's 1533-position model. Lineage: Bacteria; Pseudomonadati; Verrucomicrobiota. The record is from RNAcentral.